Molecule: ribosomal RNA, 460 nt
Filed under: uncultured bacterium
Lineage: Bacteria
Description: partial 16S ribosomal RNA
Rfam family: Bacterial small subunit ribosomal RNA
Source: RNAcentral
CCUACGGGAGGCAGCAGUGAGGAAUAUUGGUCAAUGGACGAGAGUCUGAACCAGCCACGUAGCGUGAAGGAUGACGGCCCUAUGGAUUGUAAACUUCUUUUAUAUGGGAAUAAAAUGUUCCACGUGUGGGAUUUUGUAUGUACCAUAUGAAUACGGCUCGGCUAACUCCGUGCCAGCGGCCGCGGUAAUACGGAGGGUCCGAGCGUUAUCCGGAUUUAUUGGGUUUAAAGGGAGCGUAGGUGGAUGGUUAAGUCAGUUGUGAAAGUUUGCGGCUCAACCGUAAAAUUGCAGUUGAAACUGGCAGUCUUGAGUACAGUAGAGGUAGGCGGAAUUCGUGGUGUAGCGGUGAAAUGCUUAGAUAGCACGAAGAACUCCGAUUGCGAAGGCAGUUCACUGGACUGCAACUGACAUUGAGGCUCGAAAGUGUGGGUAUCAAACAGGAUUAGAUACCCGAGUAGUC